UACGUAGGGUGCAAGCGUUAAUCGGAAUUACUGGGCGUAAAGACGUGCGCAGGCGGUCCGUUAAGACAGAUGUGAAAUCCCCGGCUUAACCUGGGAACUGCAUUUGUGACUGGCGGACUCGAGUAUGGCAGAGGGGGUAGAAUUCCACGUGUAGCAGUGAAAUGACGUAGAGAUGUGGAGGAAUACCGAUGCGAAGGCAGCCC
RNAcentral lists this ribosomal RNA (203 nucleotides) under uncultured bacterium. Its description in RNAcentral is "partial 16S ribosomal RNA". It matches the Rfam family "Bacterial small subunit ribosomal RNA", at positions 524 to 727 of the family's 1533-position model. The record is from RNAcentral.